RNAcentral lists this ribosomal RNA (230 nucleotides) under uncultured eukaryote. Its description in RNAcentral is "partial 18S ribosomal RNA". It matches the Rfam family "Eukaryotic small subunit ribosomal RNA", at positions 1208 to 1456 of the family's 1831-position model. The record is from RNAcentral.
GGAAAACUUACCAGGUCCAGACAUAGUAAGGAUUGACAGAUUGAAGAUCUUUCUUGAUUCUAUGGAUAGUGGUGCAUGGCCGUUCUUAGUUGGUGGAGUGAUUUGUCUGGUUAAUUCCGUUAACGAACGAGACCUCAGCCCAUUAAUUAGUUGUGUCCCGAAUCUUCGGAUUCGGCCAACUUCUUAGAGGGACUAUCGGAUACACAACCGGUGGAAGUUUGAGGCAAUAA